Molecule: ribosomal RNA, 485 nt
Filed under: Fusarium solani
Lineage: Eukaryota; Fungi; Ascomycota; Sordariomycetes; Hypocreales; Nectriaceae
Description: eukaryotic LSU rRNA
Source: RNAcentral
UGUGGAAAAAAAGUGUCAGUUCUGCUGAACCACGGAGGAUAUACCGGGUUUCACUCCCAAACCCCGGGACAAUCCUUAUUGUGUCUCAGCGAGCAAGGCGCUCUCCUCUGAAACCGACUAGCUCCCCCAAGAACCCAACACCCAUGCUUUAGGGUAUUUUGGGGGACCCCCACCCAUUAUCCAACCUUUAACAAAGGGGUUCCUGGUUUUGGCACGUGGAAAAUUUCAAGGGAAUAUCGAAUCUUGAAACGCACAUUGGGCCGCCAGUAUUCUGCGGCAUGCCUGUCGAGCGUCAUUUCAACCUCCAACCCGGGGUUGUGUUGGAUCGCGACCUCGCCUGCAGACAGCGGCCGAAAUCUAGUGCGUCUCGCUGUAGCCUCAUGCGUAGUAGCUAACACCUCGCAUCUGAACAGCAACGCGCCAAGCCGUUAAACCCCCAACUUCUGAAUGUGAACUCGGAUCAGGUAGGAAUACCCGCUGACUAG